UCGACAGUCGCGAAAAUAGAUGACAGGAAAUGCCAGUCUUCACCGGAAGUAACGUUACGGCGUUAUUUUAUUUAAACGUGUUCAGUUAUUCGUUCUUGUCAACAAAUAUUGUGGUCUGUAGAGUUUACUAUACGCUGUUCUACUGGGGAAAAAGUGACAAACAAACAGGGUGAUGAAUGUCCCCCAUAUGGCAAAAAUCAACUUGAGUGGGCAUCCACAACCAAAUGCUGGAAAAAUCUUCAAACAUACUGCAGUGUAUUCUGUCUUCAAGAGCACAUGUGAACAGUUUACCUCAUACCAGAAAGGACCCGGAGGCAGUGCAUGGUGUUCAACAUUCUCAAAUAUGCGCCAGAAAGGAAAAUGGCAGUGUGUUGAAGACAUUGACAAACAAUUUGAAAACUAGCCUUUGUGCUAAGCCUGGCAGUCUGUGGCUGAUGACAUUGUUUGUAGUCUCUCAUGUUUGCUUACACUUAUAAUAACCUUCGUAAGACCUCAGUUCAUGAACUCGUGAAGAAUUAUAGUUCAUGAACUAUUCACUUACAGUUCGUGAACAGAAAAUGAGCCAUUGAAAAAUAGAAGGAAAGUGUUCAUGAACUGUUCAUGAACAGAAAAUCCUAAAGAACUUUUCAAGAACUGUGUUGUUCAUGAACUGUUCAAGAACACUUCAUACCAUUGGUGUUCAUGAAUAGUUCAUGAACACUUCAUG
Long non-coding RNA from Dreissena polymorpha, 706 nucleotides. RefSeq lists it as uncharacterized. The record is from RefSeq and is a predicted model, not a curated record. The transcript is spliced from 3 exons. NCBI's taxonomy places the organism in Eukaryota, Metazoa, Mollusca, Bivalvia, Myida, Dreissenidae.